This 216-nucleotide long non-coding RNA is filed under the name Jatropha curcas. RNAcentral's name for it is "long non-coding RNA (JCUR_LNC001929)". The record is from RNAcentral. Lineage: Eukaryota; Viridiplantae; Streptophyta; Magnoliopsida; Malpighiales; Euphorbiaceae.
UUUGUUUAAGUUCUAUUUUCCUAUUUUAUCUUUUAAGAGAAGUUCCCAUAUCUAGUUCAAGUAAAAGAAAAGAAAUAACAAUGAGACUGCGAAUUAUUAUUAUUGCCUGUUUCACAAGCUAAUUAGUUUUUGAUUAAAAAUGUAAAAGAUAGGAUUUGAUUUAGCUUGGAUGAUCAAGAUUAUUGAAUUGGGAAAAUGGCUUGAAAUGGUAGGGAA